RNAcentral lists this ribosomal RNA (1372 nucleotides) under uncultured bacterium. Its description in RNAcentral is "bacterial SSU rRNA". It matches the Rfam family "Bacterial small subunit ribosomal RNA", at positions 28 to 1381 of the family's 1533-position model. The record is from RNAcentral.
GAUGAACGCUGGCGGCGUGCCUAAUACAUGCAAGUCGAGCGAACGGACGAGAAGCUUGCUUCUCUGAUGUUAGCGGCGGACGGGUGAGUAACACGUGGAUAACCUACCUAUAAGACUGGGAUAACUUCGGGAAACCGGAGCUAAUACCGGAUAAUAUUUUGAACCGCAUGGUUCAAAAGUGAAAGACGGUCUUGCUGUCACUUAUAGAUGGAUCCGCGCUGCAUUAGCUAGUUGGUAAGGUAACGGCUUACCAAGGCAACGAUGCAUAGCCGACCUGAGAGGGUGAUCGGCCACACUGGAACUGAGACACGGUCCAGACUCCUACGGGAGGCAGCAGUAGGGAAUCUUCCGCAAUGGGCGAAAGCCUGACGGAGCAACGCCGCGUGAGUGAUGAAGGUCUUCGGAUCGUAAAACUCUGUUAUUAGGGAAGAACAUAUGUGUAAGUAACUGUGCACAUCUUGACGGUACCUAAUCAGAAAGCCACGGCUAACUACGUGCCAGCAGCCGCGGUAAUACGUAGGUGGCAAGCGUUAUCCGGAAUUAUUGGGCGUAAAGCGCGCGUAGGCGGUUUUUUAAGUCUGAUGUGAAAGCCCACGGCUCAACCGUGGAGGGUCAUUGGAAACUGGAAAACUUGAGUGCAGAAGAGGAAAGUGGAAUUCCAUGUGUAGCGGUGAAAUGCGCAGAGAUAUGGAGGAACACCAGUGGCGAAGGCGACUUUCUGGUCUGUAACUGACGCUGAUGUGCGAAAGCGUGGGGAUCAAACAGGAUUAGAUACCCUGGUAGUCCACGCCGUAAACGAUGAGUGCUAAGUGUUAGGGGGUUUCCGCCCCUUAGUGCUGCAGCUAACGCAUUAAGCACUCCGCCUGGGGAGUACGACCGCAAGGUUGAAACUCAAAGGAAUUGACGGGGACCCGCACAAGCGGUGGAGCAUGUGGUUUAAUUCGAAGCAACGCGAAGAACCUUACCAAAUCUUGACAUCCUUUGACAACUCUAGAGAUAGAGCCUUCCCCUUCGGGGGACAAAGUGACAGGUGGUGCAUGGUUGUCGUCAGCUCGUGUCGUGAGAUGUUGGGUUAAGUCCCGCAACGAGCGCAACCCUUAAGCUUAGUUGCCAUCACUAAGUUGGGCACUCUAAGUUGACUGCCGGUGACAAACCGGAGGAAGGUGGGGAUGACGUCAAAUCAUCAUGCCCCUUAUGAUUUGGGCUACACACGUGCUACAAUGGACAAUACAAAGGGCAGCGAAACCGCGAGGUCAAGCAAAUCCCAUAAAGUUGUUCUCAGUUCGGAUUGUAGUCUGCAACUCGACUACAUGAAGCUGGAAUCGCUAGUAAUCGUAGAUCAGCAUGCUACGGUGAAUACGUUCCCGGGUCU